Molecule: ribosomal RNA, 709 nt
Filed under: uncultured bacterium
Lineage: Bacteria
Description: bacterial SSU rRNA
Rfam family: Bacterial small subunit ribosomal RNA
Source: RNAcentral
ACGGGUGAGUAACGCGUAAUCAACCUGCCCUUCAGAGGGGGAUAACAGUUGGAAACGACUGCUAAUACCGCAUACGAUCUAAUCUCGGCAUCGAGGAUAGAUGAAAGGUGGCCUCUACAUGUAAGCUAUCACUGAAGGAGGGGAUUGCGUCUGAUUAGCUAGUUGGAGGGGUAACGGCCCACCAAGGCGAUGAUCAGUAGCCGGUCUGAGAGGAUGAACGGCCACAUUGGGACUGAGACACGGCCCAGACUCCUACGGGAGGCAGCAGUGGGGAAUCUUCCGCAAUGGGCGCAAGCCUGACGGAGCAACGCCGCGUGAGUGAAGAAGGUCUUCGGAUCGUAAAGCUCUGUUGAUGGGGACGAACGUGCCUAAUGCGAAUAGUAUUAGGUAAUGACGGUACCCAUCGAGGAAGCCACGGCUAACUACGUGCCAGCAGCCGCGGUAAUACGUAGGUCCCGAGCGUUGUCCGGAUUUAUUGGGCGUAAAGCGAGCGCAGGCGGUUAGAUAAGUCUGAAGUUAAAGGCUGUGGCUUAACCAUAGUACGCUUUGGAAACUGUUUAACUUGAGUGCAGAAGGGGAGAGUGGAAUUCCAUGUGUAGCGGUGAAAUGCGUAGAUAUAUGGAGGAACACCGGUGGCGAAAGCGGCUCUCUGGUCUGUAACUGACGCUGACGCUCGAAAGCGUGGGGAGCAAACAGGAUUAGAUACCCU